Long non-coding RNA from Cygnus olor (mute swan), 516 nucleotides. RefSeq lists it as uncharacterized. The transcript has 5 exons. The record is from RefSeq and is a predicted model, not a curated record. Lineage: Eukaryota; Metazoa; Chordata; Aves; Anseriformes; Anatidae.
GUGCUUUGCUGUGGAUGAGUUUAAUGCCAGCAAGUGGCCUGCUGCAGCUCUGUGACCAGGAGGAGAGACCCACAUCAAUGCAUACAGCAGCCCAGCAGAAACAGGAGCCGUGCGGAGCUGGAAGGCAUCACCAGUGGAAGUGAAGGGAGCUCUCAUUAGGGGUCUCGAAAGCUGCAGACUAGAAUAGUAAAGGCAGGCGGUGACCUGAGUAACCUGGGCCCCAGGCUUUACAAGAAUGAUUCAUCCUCGGGGAUGUGGGGAAAGGACGUAGGGGAUUCCGCAUGGAGAUGCUGCGUUAGCCAUAACUUCAGUGUGGUCGUGACUAACGGAAAUAUAUACUGCUCUGCACAGAUCGCUCUUUUGGAGACCAGCCCAAACUCAUGUGGCUGGAUGUAAAGGUGCCUUAUAGGAACGCAAGCCCAGGAAGGGCACUCCCUGGAAUGUUUCUGACAGCUUCCAGAAACAGAGAGCAAGUCUGACGAGCUUGGAUCGAAAAGUGCAAAAUUCCAUGCACAG